This is a long non-coding RNA of Telopea speciosissima, 483 nucleotides long. RefSeq lists it as uncharacterized. NCBI's taxonomy places the organism in Eukaryota, Viridiplantae, Streptophyta, Magnoliopsida, Proteales, Proteaceae. The transcript is spliced from 3 exons. The record is from RefSeq and is a predicted model, not a curated record.
GAAUGUCAAGGCCAAGAGAGUUUGUGUGUGUGUGUGUUUUGUGAUGGGAGACGAAUUUCAGGCAGGGAUUUGUAGUGGAAACUGGUGGAAUUCAAGUAGAAGUGGACUGAGCGUGGGUUCGUGUUCAUCACCAUGUUCCAUGGCACUCAAUGAUAUGGGGAGCUUUGGAUGGGCAAGUGAAACCAGAUCGUCUUGUGAGGAGACGACAGCUUCAGUUUCUGAUAGCUCUAUGGUAUUUCAACAUACCAUACCCAGAAGCAAUCGCAAGGUCCGGAUUCUGUCGGUGGCGGUGGCUGUGGCUGUGGCGGUGAUGGUGGCGGCGGUGGGGGUGGCAUCCUGAUGGAUUCUACUACGUUGCAAAUGAUGGGUUUUGGACCUUCAUCUCUCACAAUGGAUUGGAACCAAACUUUACUUCGAGGUAAUGGAAGAAAUGGAGAGACUAAUUUCCAUUCCAUGCUUCAAGAUGAGUUGAGUUCAAGACCC